Molecule: long non-coding RNA, 569 nt
Organism: Pangasianodon hypophthalmus (striped catfish)
Lineage: Eukaryota; Metazoa; Chordata; Actinopteri; Siluriformes; Pangasiidae
Exons: 3
Source: RefSeq, a predicted model, not a curated record
ACAUGAAAUUCAGCUUUGAUGCCAUGUGUUCAGAAAUUCACAGAAAAACAUCCAUGACCAAGCAGUACUGGGUCAUAUUCAGGGUUUGUGCACAACAGUAUUUGGACCACAGACGCAACUACAGACUGACAUGCUACAUGGACAGCUGCACAGGAGUUGUGUGUUGUUCAGCAUCACACCUGCUGUCCUCUGUACUCCACACAGGCACCUUCUCCCCAUCUUCACAUACACCUGAUAUCUGACAGGCGGAGUAUUUUUCAUGGAGAGACAUUAGCCUGAGAUGUGGACUGAUAAGUUGGCAAGAUAAAGCACAUAAAGCAGUCUCCUACCACAGACAGGUCAAAACAUUUGCUCACCCUCCCCAUACAAAUGAAAUGAACACUAGUCUCGUGUGUAUAUGUGAGAAACGAUCCCACUUUCAUUUUUCAAUAGAAAAAAAUGGUAACGCUUUACAUUAAGAUUCCCUUAACUGGCAUAAUGUAACAAAUUACUGUAGUUAAUAUCAUAUACUUGUGAUUGUGAAAUCAUGUGCAAGUGUUAAUAAACAAUAACUAACAUUUAAAAAUCAA